Molecule: ribosomal RNA, 3679 nt
Filed under: Anaerolineales bacterium
Lineage: Bacteria; Bacillati; Chloroflexota; Anaerolineae; Anaerolineales
Description: 23S ribosomal RNA
Rfam family: Bacterial large subunit ribosomal RNA
Source: RNAcentral
AAGCUACUAAGAGCUUAUGGUGAAUGCCUUGGCGUCAAGCGCCGAUGAAGGACGUGGGACACUGCGAAAAGUCUCCGGGGAGCCGUGUACAGGCGUCGAUCCGAGAAUGUCCGAAUAGGGAAACCUGCUGUUGCGAACCAACAGCGUCCUCUUACCGAACACAUAGGUUUGAGGAUGGGAACCUGGGGAACUGAAACAUCUAAGUACCCAGAGGAAAAGAAACGAUUCCCCCAGUAGUGGCGAGCGAACGGGGAACAGCCCAAACCGCCCAUGCUUGCAUGGACGGGGUUGUAGGACCGGCAUAUGGAAGUUACAAAACAAUCAGUUAGCGGAAAGGUGUGGGAAAGCCUGCCAAAGAGGGUAACAGCCCCGUAUGCGAAAACUGACUGUCUUCCGCCGUGUUCCUGAGUACUGCCGGGCACGCUAAUCCGGCAGGAAGCUAGGGAGUCCACUCUCUAAGGCUAAAUACGCUUGACGACCGAUAGUGAACUAGUACCGUGAGGGAAAGGUGAAAAGUCCCCCUGUUAGGGGAGUGAAAUAGAACCUGAAACCGUAAGCUUACAAGCAGUUGGAGGGCUACGACAGGUCGAGCGCCGCAGAAAUGCGGAGGUUCCCUGUAAUGCCUGACAGCGUGCCUCUUGGAGAAUGAGCCUGCGAGUUAAUCUCAGUGGCAAGGUUAAGGGAGUGACACCCGAAGCCGUAGCGAAAGCGAGUCUGAAUAGGGCGCAUAGUCGCUGGGAUUAGGCCCGAAACCGUGUGAGCUACCCAUGGGCAGGGUGAAGCGAGUCUAAACGCUCGUGGAGGCCCGAACCCACUAACGUUGCAAAGUUAGGGGAUGACCUGUGGGUAGAGGUGAUAUGCCAAUCGAACACGGAGAUAGCUGGUUCUCCCCGAAAUAGCUUUAGGGCUAGCGUCAUGCGUUUAGUACUGGAGGUACAGCACUGAAUGGGCUAAGGGGCUUACAGCUUACUGAACCCAAUCAAACUCGGAAUGCCAGUACUCCAUAGCAUGGCAGUCGGACGCCGGGAGAUGAGUUUCGGUGUCGAAAGGGAAACAGCCCAGAUCAUCGGCUAAGGUCCUCAAAUCUAUGCUAAGUGGUGAACGAGGUGAGGUUACUUGAACAACCAGGAGGUUGGCUUAGAAGCAGCCACCCUUUAAAAAGUGCGUAACAGCUUACUGGUCUAGUGACUUUGCGCGGAAAACUCAACGGGGCUAAGCAUAGUACCGAAGCCAUGAGUCUCGUCGCAAGACGGGGCAGUAGGGGAGCGUUCUGUCAGCGGUGAAGGUCGAUCGUAAGGGCGACUGGAGCGGACAGAAGUGAGAAUGCAGGCAUGAGUAGCGUACAAACACGUGAGAACCGUGUUCGCCGUAAAUCUAAGGUUUCCGACGCCAGGUCAUUCCGCGUCGGGUUAGUCGAGUCCUUAGCCGAGGCCGAGAGGCGUAGGCGAUGGACAUCCGGUUAAUAUUCCGGAACCGCUAGAGAGUGCGAUGGGAGGACGCAACGAGGUAGGCCAGCCCAUUAUUGGAUUUGGGUUCGAACCAUUUAGGCGUUGAGACCGGCAGGGAAAUCCGCCGGUUGAGCCGAGGUGGGAGCGGGCUGUAAUAAGCGAAGUGGCUGAGCCUUGUUGCCCAGAAAAGUCUCUAAGCAUAACUCUUUAGCGCUCGUACCGCAAACCGACACUGGUAGAUGGGUAGAGUAUACCAAGGCGAACGGGAGAACCCUCGUUAAGGAACUAGGCAACAUGACCCCGUAACUUCGGGAGAAGGGGUACCCCCUGGGGUGUCAAAGCCCCGGAGGGUCGCAGUGAAAUGGCUCUGGUGACUGGUUAACAAAACCACAGGUCUCUGCUAAGCCGUAAGGCGAUGUAUAGGGGCUGACGCGUGCCCAGUGCUGGAAGGUUAAAGGGAGAGGUUAGGCGCAAGCCAAAGCUUUGAACUGAAGCCCCAGUGAACGGCGGCCGUAACUAUAAGAUAACCGUUGUAGUUACGCUAAUAAACUUAGCCAUAUGCUGGAAACUCUGGUGUAUCUGGCGCUACUUCGCAAGGAGUAACAAUGCGACCAGUGCAGACAAUCAGCAGGAAAGACUUGGUGCCAUGAGUGAAAAUGUCCCUGAUAACGUAGGAUAUUACUUAGCUGGCUUUGUAGAUGGCGAAGGAAGUUUCAACAUCAGUAUAAAGAAAGCUGAUGAUCGCCCUCUUGGCUGGCGGGUAAGCGCUUGUUUCAAUGUUUCGCAACGUGAAAAGCAGGUGCUUGAGUUGUUGCAACAAUCUCUUGGUUGUGGCACAAUCCGAAAAAGAUGGGAUGGCGUACAUUAUUACGAGGUUAAUAGCCAUAUUGACCUUGUGGAAAGGGUAAUCCCUUUCUUUCGCAAGUUCUUAUUGCGUUCUCCUGCUAAAAAUGAGACGCUUGAGAUAUUCUCUCAAAUUUGCGAGAUGAUGUGCGAUGGAGAACAUCUGACCGAUAGUGGUUUGCGUGAAAUUGUUCAACUAAGGAAGUUGAUGAACAACGAAACAAGCAAACGCCAUCGCAACGAUGAAGAAAUCCUCAGUUCGCUUUAGCAUUAAGAAUCCUCAGAGACUAUACGCUAAGUUCGGCAGGAACGAAGGAUAGCCGCAAGUUCCUGUUUGAAAUGAUAUAGUCCGAUCUUCGUAGCGAUACGAAGGGCUUGACAAAGCCGCACAGAAAUGUGUAACGUAAAUAAACGGUCCUAAGGUAGCGAAAUUCCUUGUCGGGUAAGUUCCGACCCGCACGAAUCGCGUAACAAUUAGAGCACUGUCUCGACGAGGGACCCGGUGAAAUUGAAAUGGCUGUGAAGAUGCGGCCUACCCGCAGCAGGACAAAAAGACCCCGUGGAGCUUUACUGCAACUUGGCAUUGUAUUUGGACAUGAUCUGUGUAGCAUAGGUGGGAGGCUUUGAAGCUGGCGCGUCAGCGUCGGUGGAGCCGCCAGUGAAAUACCACCCUGAUUAUGUUUAGAUCCUAACCCCAUUCCGUCAUCCGGAUGGGGGACCGUGCCAGGUGGGCAGUUUGACUGGGGCGGUCGCCUCCCAAAAGGUAACGGAGGCGCCCAAAGGUUCCCUCAGGUGGAAUGGAAACCCACCAUAGAGUGUAAAGGCAUAAGGGAGCUUGACUGUAAGGCCAACGCGCCGAACAGAGUCGAAAGACGGGCUUAGUGAUCCCACGGUACCGAGUGGAAGGGCCGUGGCUUACCGGAUAAAAGCUACCCCGGGGAUAACAGGCUGGUGAGAUCCAAGAGUUCACAUCGACGAUCUCGCUCGGCACCUCGAUGUCGGCUCAUCGCAUCCUGGGGCUGGACAAGGUCCCAAGGGUCGGGCUGUUCGCCCGUUAAAGCGGUACGCGAGCUGGGUUCAGACCGUCGUGAGACAGGUCGGUCUCUAUCCGCUGUGGGCGUAAGGGAUUUGAAGGGAGCUGCUCCUAGUACGAGAGGACCGGAGUGGACAGACCUCUAGUGUGCCAGUUGUUCCGCCAGGAGCAUCGCUGGGUAGCCAUGUCUGGCAGAGAUAACCGCUGAAAGCAUCUAAGUGGGAAACUCGCCCUAAGAUUAGAUCCCUGUAUUCCCGUAAGGGAGUAAGACCCCAGGUAGACUACCUGGUAUAUAGGCAGGAUGUGUAAGCGCAGCAAUGCGUUCAGCUAACCUGUACUAAUGGUCGAGGGCUUC